CCUGAGAAACCCAAAAGAUCGAAUGGGGAGACUCAACGACUGCGAUCCUGGCGCUCGUGCGGUUCGCGAUGCUACGGGGCCUCGGUCCUGGGGCACGCGUCCGUAUGUGCUUAUUCGCCGGGUGUCGCCGUCGCGCACUUCUCCCCUAGUAGGACGUCGCGACCCGUUGGGUGUCGGUCUACGGCCCGGGUGGGAGCCUGUCGUUUGUUACGCCUCGCGGCGUCAUGCGGCAGACCCCCGGUUGCCCGACCAGCUACCCGGCGGUACUCGCACGGUAUCGGGCCGCAAAUAUUCGAACUGCGUCAGGCCCGUCGCAAGCGGGGCCAGUGUCUUACCCGGAUGCACGGACCUAGAGCCGUCACCGGGCCUGGCCGGCUGUUGGCUGACGGUGUCCUAAGACAGGCUCUUUCAAUUAUGAUACCGGUCGGCGACGCUACUGCUUUGGGUACUUUCAGGACCCGUCUUGAAACACGGA
RNAcentral lists this ribosomal RNA (475 nucleotides) under Eiphosoma sp. BF001020. Its description in RNAcentral is "eukaryotic LSU rRNA". The record is from RNAcentral. Lineage: Eukaryota; Metazoa; Arthropoda; Insecta; Hymenoptera; Ichneumonidae.